This 234-nucleotide ribosomal RNA is filed under the name uncultured crenarchaeote. Its description in RNAcentral is "partial 16S ribosomal RNA". It matches the Rfam family "Archaeal small subunit ribosomal RNA", at positions 693 to 922 of the family's 1478-position model. The record is from RNAcentral. Lineage: Archaea; Thermoproteati; Thermoproteota.
AACGGUUGAAGGGAUGAAAGCUGGGGGGAGCAAACCGGAUUAGAUAACCCGGGUAGUCCCAGCUGUAAACUAUGCAAACUCAGUGAUGUAUUAGCUUAUGGCCAAUGCAGUGCUGCAGGGAAGCCGUUAAGUUUGCCGCCUGGGAAGUACGUACGCAAGUAUGAAACUUAAAGGAAUUGGCGGGGGAGCACCACAAGGGGUGAAGCCUGCGAUUCAAUUGGAUUCAACGCCGGA